This is a non-coding RNA of Pogona vitticeps (central bearded dragon), 1131 nucleotides long. The record is from RefSeq and is a predicted model, not a curated record. Lineage: Eukaryota; Metazoa; Chordata; Lepidosauria; Squamata; Agamidae.
CUCCUCCAAGAUGGGAGACAAGAGGGAAAUCUGAACCACCGGAGGCUCUCAAGGGUGGAGAUGUUGAGUGUGGUGAGCUGUCACUCUGGCGCCGGGCCAAAAAGAGCAGAUAGCAUGAUGUAACUUCUGGAUCCUUUCAGCCAAGAGAAAGAUCCUGGCUCUGUUGGAGUCCAGAACUGCGCCAGUAUAGUCCAUGGUCUGAAAUGGUAUGAGAUGGGAUUUCGUUACAUUGACUUGAAGGCCUCAAUCUUCCAGCAUUUGCAGCAUGAAAGACAUGUCCUCUUGUGCCUUGGCAUAAGAGCCAGUGACGAUCAACCAGCCAUCUAUAUAUGGGAAAACCAUGAUGUUGUUGAGACAAAGGUAGGCUGCUACUGGAGCUAGGCACUUCGUGAAAGUCCUUGGGGCAAUGGCAAGGCCAAAGGGGAGAGCGCAGAAUUGAUACACUGAUUCCAUGAAAAUAAAUCUGAGAUAUUUGUGGUGAUACUCCUAGAUGGUAAUGUGAAAGUAAGCGUCCUGCAAGUUUAUCAUGAUGAACCAAUCGCCCGGAGGAAGAAGAGGCAUGAUGAACUCUAAGGUGACCAUACGGAACCAUUGGUGAUGAAGGGCGACAGAAAAUUUGGUGGCGCUGAUUGGAAGCCUGAGGUUUGAAGGACAUGGCAGUAGAAGAUGGAGGCUGAUUUGGUCUGUCCUGAGGAGGUUUAUAGUAAUGGUUUUCCAUCACCUCGUUGGUCUUCUCAUUGAACAGACCAGCACCAUUGAACGGAAGCUCUUCAAUCCGUGCUCUGGCAUCAUUGUUGAUGCCUGCUGAACGUAGCCAGGCAUGUCUGUGGAGGGCAAUGGCUGAUGUCAUCGCCUUGGAAGCCACGUCUGCAGUGUGCCUCAAUACCAAGCAUUGUUGUUUGUGAGUGUUGUUGCCUCCAAAUGUGUGUUGAGGGCCAUGGUUCUGGUUUGUCAGGGGCUGCUUGAAGAAUGGACAAGAUCUUAAUCCAUAGUUGCCUUUGAUAGGCACCCAUGGCCGCUUGAUAACUGGAGACCCUCAUCACAAAGGAUGUGAGUGAAUACGGGCAACAGCCAAGUACAUCCAACUUAUGACCCUCUCUGCUAGUAGGGGUCACCUUAGAUCGAUUACCU